RNAcentral lists this ribosomal RNA (274 nucleotides) under uncultured bacterium. RNAcentral describes it as "partial 16S ribosomal RNA". It matches the Rfam family "Bacterial small subunit ribosomal RNA", at positions 523 to 796 of the family's 1533-position model. The record is from RNAcentral.
AUACGGAGGGUGCAAGCGUUACUCGGAAUCACUGGGCGUAAAGCGCGCGCAGGCGGCUUGGUAAGUUGGAUGUGAAAGCCUACGGCUCAACCGUAGAACUGCAUCCAAAACUGUCAAGCUAGAGUGUGGGAGAGGAAGAUGGAAUUAGUUGUGUAGGGGUAAAAUCCGUAGAGAUAACUAGGAAUACCAAAAGCGAAGGCAAUCUUCUGGAACACUACUGACGCUGAGGCGCGAAAGCGUGGGGAGCGAACAGGAUUAGAUACCCUAGUAGUCC